GGUCGUUGGCGGCGGCGCGUUUAUUUUCAUUCAUUCAUUUGCCUGGCUCCUUUCACUCGGCCCGUCGUGCCCGAACCGAACCCAAUUCCGAGUCCAACUGGGCCGCGCGCGCGCCGCACCGUCGGUUCAUUAGUCCGAAAUCAGUGGUUCGCCCUUCGCCGUGGGAAUAUGUGCCCGUCCGCGUCCGAGCUCCGACCGCCACCGCCGACCGAGAUCCGCUCAUCGCUCCCUCCCCAAGCCUCCUGACACCCCCUCAACCAACCCCAACGGAGCCCACCCUCUCCCUCUCAUCCGCUUAUCGAGGUGUAAACUCUCCUCCUUACGCAGUUGAUAACGCGAACGUUGUUCGUUGGUCAUUCACCUCGGCGAGCGCCGGAAAAUUUUGAAUCCUACAACCCCGAUCCGAUUUCUCAUCCUUACACUCAUUCUUACUCUACUUGCUCGCUUUAUUUACUCUAUCGAGUUUAACUUCAACGUUUUUUGUUGAUACUUCGCCGCCGCCGGGAAAAAAUUGAAAAAUAUUGAAAAAUCUGGCUCCCAAGAACCCAGAUACCGCCCUCCCUUAUCUUUACAUUAUUUUUCAAGUGUAGAUUUUUUGCUAACCUUAGUUGAAUAAGCUUAACUUAGACGUCGUUCGAUAGUGUUAUUUUUUUUUCUUUUUUUUUUUUUCAUAAAGGUUUAAAAAUUCGGUACCACACAAGACCCCCUAUCACUAUUCCUUAUCAUCACGCAAGUGUAAUCCUAUACAUUUUCGCUUUACUUAGUCGAUAAGCUCAACUUAAACAUCGUUCGCUAGUGAUUCACUUCGGUAAGUGUAAUUCAAAAUCUUUCAAACGCAGUACCAUUAUCAUCAGAUCGAAUCGUAGCUCUGAUCACGUCCUCGCCUUAUUCAGUGCAUAAUCGUACUUUUUUGCUUGACCAAGUUGAUUAACUCAACUUGAAAAUUGUUCGUAAGUGGCCCGCUUUGGUGCGUGUUACAAAUUUCGGAUCCGAGGAAAGGAGGUUACAGCCGACACGGUGUGCGGUGCCUUAAAGAGAGAUUCUCUCGCCACGUCUCACGUCAAAGAUUGUUCCUACCAACUGCUGAGAUUUAAUUCUGAUUCGGCUCUGAUCCUCCUCGUUUCAACAAAUUUGUGAUUGUGUAUCUGGGCCUCUGUAUAGCGUGCUACCUUUGCACACAGAGCCAACGAUCUCCUUUUCAGGCAUCGAUCUGAGUGGCAGCUGACUUGAAUCAAUCGGUGGUGGACGGCGGUUGGUCGGUUGGGACGGCCCAAGAUGCCCGAUGGUUGUCCGCUGACGAGCGACAUCAACAACAACAACCGGAGUGGAAGCGGCCACGGCAACUGCAGCCGCUGCGCCAGCAACGCUUGCGGCAACACCAAGUGCAACAGCGGGGCCUGCUAUGGCCAAACGCCCGGCGCCGCCCAUCAAAACGGCGGCGGCUCAGCUUACGCGGGCGCCGCCUCGCAGGGAGGCAAGUCUACAACUCAAUGGACUACUAGACAAGGGGGCGUGGGGGGUCGCAACAACGCAUGCGGCGGUGCCGGGUCCGGUAUGGGAUCUUCGGGCAAGAGAGUCCAGGUCACGGCGAAAAUCCUCUUCGGCUCUGUCUCGGCGAUAUCCAACAUGAAGCAUUCGGAGAAGCUCCACAGAAAGAGGUCCCAGUGACUUCCAAGCAUCGCCAAACCACCCAAAACUUUCAACGAAACAGGGUCCGUGGCGAAUGGUGCGAAGGUUCUGGAGAUCUGCUUUAGCUUCUGCCGCUUAGUGACGCUCCGAGCGUCUCUCACUCCGCUUAGCACUCACUCUCACUCCCUGGCAGCGGCAGCCCCCUCUGGCUCCCUCUAACCGUCGUCGGAUGAUUCUACCUCGUCGGCACUGCUAAAUCGGCUUCACCCACGUCCAGGUCCACGGGCCUCUCCAUCAAAUAAGGACACAGACUUUGCCCGCAGCGAAGAAGAGGAGGCAUUUAAGAAAUUGAUUUACUCAUUGACAAUCCUCUCAAGAUCCAGCUUCGUGAAACAAUUGGUGCUCCGACAUUUUUUUCAACUCACACACGAACAACGAAUCAAUCUUAACUGCGAUAAGAAAAAGUUCAUUGAAAGCAACCAAGGAGGAAUACUGUGUUGCAACAACAUGAAUUAUUUGUUCAGCAAUUGAUAAAAAAACACUGUUGGAUGAUUUUUUAACGGAUUUGUUAUAAUUGUUAAAAUCACUAUGUUUUAAAUUAGCCUCUGAUGUAUAUUUAUAAUUUCAUUUCCGACACGAAAAUAAACAUUUAGGGUGAUAUUUUUAGAGCUAAAAUUAGGCUGUGCUCGUUCAAGUUUGUUUGUUUUUCAUGCUCUCCUGCUUUUACAUUGUGUACAUAACGUUACAUUGUGUUACAUUGUGUACGGCAGAGACCACGAUUGGUAGUAAUUUUGAUGAAAAUAUAAAAACUUCCCCACAAAAAAGGACCAAUGUAAACAGCUCUUCGAAACUUAUUGUUUGCUAGUCUAAAGUCACUCACACUCUUAACUUUUACACUCAAAUUCGAUUGCUUUAACUGUGACCUGUCGUGUGAAGUCAAGACACCCAACUGAUCGGUGGCGUUAUCUGACUGAAAAUCUAGACAAAGAAGUGGCAGAACUGGAGAGAAUUUGACGGGAACGUGCCAAGUCACAUCAAAUUUGGAAAAUAGGGUUGAAGUUUUAUUCCCUCGUGAGACUCGUCAAUGUUAGGGACGAAGUUUAACAACCAUUCUCACGUUCAAAAUAUUUGUUCUCGAAUUUAAGAUUUUGACAGGAAAAAACUUACAACUAUUUGUGUAAUGUAUUCAAAACCAAUCCCAACUAAUUUUUCGCCAAACUGCGACUUAAUGCGCUCUGCUAAACUUUGUUUUGUUGACAAGGAGGGGAUUUUGGAAGUUAGGCAUAUUUCCGAGGUAGACCAUAAAACACCCUCCAUGCAGCAAAAGUUAUCCUUUCGAAGAUAUCUGGACUUUAUUUUGCAAUGAGGAACUAAUAUUUCUGACUCAUCUGUAAAAGCACCUAUCUGCAUAAGGAAAACUAGAGCACAUGCUUGGUUCUAAAAUAAGUUGGUAUAGUAGUUCCUCAUUGCAAAAUGCAAUCCAUCCGUCUUACUCUGCAACGUUUCUGUCUGCCUAUCUUACCGCGCAGUAAAUUGUGUGAGGCUACAACCUGCUGAGUAAGUCGUUUCUCUUUACUCUGUCUUCCUUUUGUUACAAUUUUAUCAGUAAUGGUAAAUGGAAAAUAUAAAAUCGAUAAUCUACUGCCAAAUUUCUUUAAGAGGCUACAGUUUCAAAACGUGUGCUCAAAAACAUCCCCGCAGUCGAUAUCGGAAUGUUUUUAAGAAAAAAGUAUGUUAAAGAAUCCUGGCGUCAAGCCAACUCAUUUCACUUUUAGAAUGCGUUUUGAAAAAUAACACCCUCACCUCUUAAGAGAGAAGUACGAAACAUCGCAUCUGCUGCACUAAGAAGUUGGUUCUGCGUUGUUUGAAUAGACUGCAAUUCCAAUCUGCUCACAGCACGAGCGAAAAUCGAAGCUUUCAGUAGGAUUACCGUUUUUUUUUAAAAGAGAUAUUUGGUACAAACUUCUUGUCGUUUAGUUGAUUGAAAAGCCAUUUAGAAAAACAGUUUCAUUCGUUCACUGUCGAAAACUGACGUUAUUCUCGAAUAAAAACAACGCCUAAGGGUAGUUUUUCCGGAGCGCAUAUAGUGUAUAUAAUUAUGUGAUUAUCAAAACAAAACAAGUUGUGGGUUAUAAUUGAUCGCAUGCUUUUAUAGAUCUUGCCCCUUCUUAUCCUAUGAAAUUGCAAAUUUAAUUGUUAAAACUACUUAUGAAAAGCUUUUUCACCAAAAUUGUAUUCAUUUAGAAAAUGAAUUCCUGUAACUCUAUGUUAAUUCCUGUUCUUUAUGUGAUUGUUAAAUUAUUAAUUCUGUUAUUACGUAAAUAAAUCUGCACAUACUAAAACUUC
Molecule: non-coding RNA, 3975 nt
Organism: Bemisia tabaci
Lineage: Eukaryota; Metazoa; Arthropoda; Insecta; Hemiptera; Aleyrodidae
Source: RefSeq, a predicted model, not a curated record